AAAAUAACCUAAACCAAGAAAUAAGAAUUAACAACAUUAACAAGUUAAGAACUUGGCCCAAAAUGACCGGAACGCUGUCUGCUUAAUCAAGAAUUAUUAAAAUAUAUAAGCAUAUUAAAUUGUGAAAGCUAUAGGAGAAUAUGCAAGAGUCACAUGGAACAUUUUGAGUACGAAGUUAUUACUAAUGAAUCCAUUAAAAUGACAAAUAUGUAGAAAUAAGAAAAAUUUACGUUAUAACUUCUAAGACACAUUCUCACUUUCAAUUAACAAAAAAAAGUAUUCUCCUCAUUCUUCUUUGUUUCGUAAUUAAACCAAACUGUCCAGUUACACAGACAAGUAAAAUAUAAAAUAUAUAGUGUCUUCUUCUCCGGCUGGCUGUUUAUCUCACCUCUUCCAUGAGGGAUUCCGUCGCUUUCUCUUCUUUCGAUUGAUGUUCUCUCCGUUUGGUCUCUCUGAUGCAAUUGUUUGUAGAUCUGGGAGUUCGUUGUUCCGUGUUGAAGUUAGCAACAGUGAUUUCUUCUCUGGUGUGUAGUGGUCGGUUUUCGUUCUCGUUCGGUAGUCUCCCUUUCCUCACUCAAUCUGUUCUCCUCUCGCUCAAGGACGGUGGCUGAGUUCAGGUCUUAUGUAUAUCAUAUGUGCUAUAUAUUUUUAAAUAUUAAAAAAGAAUGGUAAGAUGAUUGAAAAUAUUAGAAUCUUGUCUACGAAAACACAUCCACAAAUCUUAAUCCACGAAACUUCGUCCACGAAACUUUGUAAGAUUUGGAAUUUUUUCCAAAAUUAGAUGUGGAGACAAACAUGUACAUAUGAACAUAUCCACAUAAUUUACUACUCUAUUCUCGGAUACUACUAUUUUUGUUCUUUGAUAUAAAUUGUCCUCAACUCAUUCAUUCGAAACCACCGUCUACAACUCAUUCGUUCAAAUUUCACCGUCCACAACAUAUCGUCCACGCUACUUUGUCCACUUAAUUAAAUUUUAAUUAUUCUAAAAUAUAAAAUAUCAAAAUAAAUAUAUACAUAUGGAUCUCAAAAUAUAGAGGAAAAGAAUAAUUUAUUAUAUAUAUAUAUAUAUAUAUAUAUAUAUAUAUAUCAGCUUAUAUAUCGUAGUAUCAGAUAAUAACAAAUAAAAUCCGCUGGAAACAAAAAAAAUAAAAAAGAGAACCUUUAAAUCGUUAGAGACUAAAAAAGAAUAAUUGAAAAAAAAACUAUUUUCAAAUCUCUUAGAAAAAAACAAGUACAUCUCAUAUAAGCCAAUAGAUCUGCUUUUUUUUUCUAAAUCGACGUUCCUCAGCAGAGCACAAUUUUCAUGACACCUACCAUAUAAAUCUACUAACUAAACAAUUCUAACGAAAUACAAACUAAACAACUAACUACUUUUACACUUCAAUGACCGUGAGAAUGACACUUUAGACACACAUAGAAGGCAUUUUCGUCUCAUUCACACUUCGGUUUCGUAAAAAGGAGGUGGAAAGUGUCCCUUGAGCACAAAGUGACUGAUAUUGUUAAAAAGAUAGAAAAGUGCCUCGUAAUGUAAUUUACUCUAGAAAUAAAGUAACUCAGAAAGUAAAAAGCAUAAAAGAUAAAUUACAACAAAAUAAUCCACGAAACAGAAAUAUGAUGAGUAUUAUCUAAAACAGACACUUUUAAAUACCAUAUUCAAGUAGAAUAAUUUUAAGAGAGAUCCAAUAUUAUACAAUUAUUUUGUUUCUCUGCUUAAGAGCUCAACUUCUAAAUUCCAGCCUCCUACUCUUAUUUUGGUUGAAGAUUUAAAGAUUAUCGCAUAUUGAAAUCAAGUCCACUGAUAGAUACACAAAUCCACUCUUAGUCUUCAAUACUUGCAGAUGUUCCGAUGAAAACUAUGUUUCUUUGUUUUAGAGCUCCGCUCAAAUAUAGGAGAUUGGAAAUCCUUCUGAACGUGUUUUUCUUGUGCCAUUUGAUCUCAUACCUGAUGAAAAUAUUGAUGCGGCAAGUUCGAGUUCUAGGACUUUAUCCAUGCUCGAUUUCAUGGGGAUGUUCCUCCUAUGGGUCGGAUAAUUGGUAUGGCUAACGCAGUGUGGGGUAAAUCAGGUAGAUUUUUUGUAACGCCCCGACCGUCCAUGGCUAAUGGGCCACCCACACUCAAUCGGCCCGUGGGCUCCAUCCCAUAUGACGGGCUGUGCGUUAAUUUUCCAAGGCCCAAAAGUCUUGUUUACUGACCCUGCAAUCAUCAUAUGACAUUUCUCCGUUCUUUUGGCCUCACUCACACGGUAUCGCGAAUCACUUCCUGAUAGCUCAUUCAUCCUUCCACUACUCCAGCUCAAACACGUUUAACUCUGGAGUUCUAAACGGAUGUGUGACGGAAAAGGUAAGUCAACUUUGGUGACAUACGUAACCAAAUCAAUCAUCUAAGCAUUUCAAUAUAUCACAACUCAGAAUGUUACAAUUCACCCCCUCUCAAAGAACGCAACGUCCUCGUUGAGCCCCACGAUAGGUCUCAAGACACCUCACGGGUCAGAACCAAGAUGGCUAACCAUCUCAGAUACCACUUGUAACGCCCCGACCGCCCACAGCUAAUGGGCCACGCACGCCCGCUAGCUCACUCGGCCCGUGGGCCUCAUCCCAUCUGACGGGUGGUGUGUUAAUUUUCCAAGGCCCGAAAGUCUUGUUUACUGACCAUGCAAUCACCACAUGACCUUUCCCCAUGCUUUUGGCCUCACUUCCCGAUAGGUCACCCAUCUUUCUACUAAUCCAGCUCAAGCACGCUUAACUGUGGAGUUCUAAACGGAUGUGUGACGAAAAAAGUAAGUCAACUUUGGUAACACAGGUACACAAAUCAAUCAUCUUAAGCCUUUCAAUAUCAUAACUCGGGAUGUUACAUUUUUGUCCACAACAUUGGCCAUGGAUGUUUCCUUUUCCGAGUUACGAAUGCUAGAACAAGAGAGACUUUUCUCUCUGACACUAGCUGGAAUAUUGCAGGCUCACCAAUGUGUGGGUUCCAUGAUCUUCUGGUUUCUCACCGGAUGAAGCCCUACUUACUAGUGUUGUCGUCCAGUGGAGAUGCAAAAUGUUCUUUAUCUACUUUCCAACAACGGAGGCUUGAUUAGAAACAAAGAAAAAAUAUAAAUUUCAAGAGGCAAAGAUGUAUAUCAAAGUUGAUCUCCCUAAAAGACUUACUCAUACGGUUGCUUUGGUUUCUCCAAUGAUAGAGAGGUUCUUAUAGAGGUUUCAUACCCAUGGUUCCUUGUUAAAUGUGAGUCAUUCUUGAAGUACGACCACAAAAGGAGGAAUGUUGGGCGGGUAUUCUAAAGGAUCUCUUGAGAAAAGCUUUGCUAGGGAAUUUAUUACGGAAACAUCUAGGAAACGUUUUAAGUUCAUAAAAGGAAGAUCAAGAGGUUUCCGAGGCAGAGAGAGUUAUAACCACAACAACUCAGUACUUGAAGAAGAGGCAUUAGGUGGAGUGAAAGACGUUCAGGUCUAUGAAAAAGCUGUACUAGGCUAGUUGAUGUGCUAGAGAUAAAUUAUAUCACGGAACAGAGGCAGACCCACCGCGAACAAAGGGGAGUCAGCUGCCACAGGUUAAAAAUAUAUUUUAUCAAGUUUGUUAUUUGGUGUGAAAAUCUCGUAGCUCAUUGGUCUGUCUCUUCCCCAUCUGACCCAUUUUUAAUUGUUCAACCUGAGUUCGAAUCUUUCUUUUGCACCUCUUUUUAAAAUUUUCUCUUUAUUUUAAUUUAAAGCUGGGCCAAGCCCAAUUAAUGACACCUCUAAAAUAUAAUCAUGGUUUUUAUUUCAAAAAGAUCAUAUUUUAUAUUUCCAAUGUAAUUUUUAUCAACUAAUAAUGAUAAAUUGUGAAGUUCAAAAAUAUUAAUUGCAUUUAUUAAAAUCUUAUUGAUUUAAAAAUAUAGAAAAUAUAAAAUUACAAAAAACUACACAUUUAUAACUAAGUUUUAAUAUGUUUUAUUAAAAAGUGUGAAAAUUCUAAAACAUGAAUCUUUUAGGAACGGAUGGAGUAUAUAAUUAUUUCACACGGUUGAAACCGUAACCCACUAGUUUUAGUUGAGCUGCUUUAUUUUUUAUUUAUUUUUUGGGUGGCUUGGAGGUUUCAAUAUUUUUGUAAAUUUAUGAUUGGCUUUGUUUUUUUACAAAAAUAAAAUAAAAAUUGUUGUGUGGGGUGGUACGUAUUGAUAUAAAUUCCAUUGCCGGCACAAAAUCUGCGAGAUCGAACGUGCUAUGGUUCAUACCCGCAUGUCAUAUUUACGUGUGACGUGCCCAUAUCUCAACCUGUGAGGUACAUCACGUCAUCAACUUCAAGUACAGCACCCCAGUUUGGUCCCAAGUUCCAGUUAUGAUAACUGAACUGAGUCGGCCCAAACGUGUCCGAAAUGUGUUCCUUUUUUUUCGAGAAAGGUUAGAAAUGUGUUCUUUACGUCAAUCGGUCAAUGUAAAAGAAAAAAACUCCAAAUUUAUUUUAAAUAAAUAGCACUAAUAUAGUAUCACUACUAUAUAAAAAGAGCUAUUUUUUGAGCUUCUAAAGGGUGCCACAUGGGCAGAAAUAUUUCCCACCAAUCAAUCUGCCAUGUCACUACGGGCCGGGUCACAAACCAAUUUCAAGUUCCGGUCCAAACUUGUCCCAUUCCUGCCCAACCUCAGAUGCUUCUUAUUAUAUGUGGGACCCACUAUGUACUUACUAACUUAAAAAAUUGUAUGAGGUUGUUUCUGGGCCAUAAGUUUGAUUUACAAUGGUAAUCCUUAGCCCAUUAAAAAGACACUCAAGGCAUCGUCCGCUCUGAUCUAGGGUUUCCAAAACUAAUUUUCCGCCCCCCCCCCCCCCCCCCCCCCUUACUUUAAGAUACGUUAAUCGGUAUUCAUGGCAGUCUUAAUUUUCUACACCCCUUCCAUCUUCCUUAUGAUACCCUUAAUGACUCCCCUGUUUCAAAACAUCAGCCAUAGCCCUCUCUAUAUAAAGUCGAUCCUCGAGACCGGGAUUAAACAUCGCAACUCCAAUCCCUGCUUUCGUCAUCCGAAGUGGCUUAUAUUAUAGACGUGAAAAUGUCUUCCUUUGCUGUUUUUGGUGCUCAAUCAGCCGGUCCCCACGCUACUUUCUACGAUCUCCGCCUUUGUCGGUCUACUCAAGUCGUUGUCGGCCGUCUCUUAUGCUUUUGGGAUUCCGGCAAUAUCAAUAAGAAUGGCGAGUUCAUGGGUAGCACCAUACUCUUCCUAGAUGAAAAGAUGAACAUGUAUGUACAUCUACUCUUUUAGAUUAAUGAUUUACCUAGGAGUUUCUUGAUCUGGAGUGUAAAAUUAUAAUUACCAAAAACCCUUAUGUCAGUUUGUGAGAUUUGAACGCAGCUGAUGUAACUUUGUCUAGAAUAUAUAUUUAUGCUAAAUCUGCUGCUCAAAGGUAUAGUCAUUUCAAUAUGUAUCACUCAUUUGUAACCUAAACUAAAACAUACUUGCUCUUUUCAUGGUAACUAUAUCUGAACUCCACUCCGGCCACCAAGUUCUACUUUGACACCACAAUCCCCGCCAUUGAAGCAUUCACAGAGAGCUUGGGAGGUGCAGCAGGAGAGGUUUUUACACGGGUAGAAACCAUGGGAGGUAUUAGAAAGAAAGAACUUGUGACAAUUGGUGAUAUUCAUACCUACCUGUCCAACUCCAACGCCCAGAGCCAGGAAGCUGAUUUCCUCUACAAAGCUAGGAUUGUCGGCAUCCUCCAACAGAAUGGUUGGGCUCAUGUCUCUUGCACCGGUUGCAGCAAGAAGCUGGACAAAUAUGGCACCUCAUGUGUUUCACUCAUGUCCAUGUCCAAAAAUUCCGUGUAGAGCUCGCCGUUGAAGAUGGCAAAGACAAUGCAAACGUUUGUGGUCUUUGAUACCGAGAUGUCUAAACUCACCAAAACGGAAGCAGCAACACUAGCUCUUGAGGAGAUUAACAGCGUUGGAGGUCCAGAGCUACCUUGAUGCCUUGAAGAACUAGCUGGGAAUCAAUAUGUUUUCCACAUACGUGUCACUCCCUUCAACUUCACCUCCAACCACCGUACCUUCACUGUGUCUUGCUUGACCCUCUGACCGAGAGACCCGAGGCUGAAAGGGCUCCAGGGGGAGAUGUCCACACAUGACAAGCACCGUCAUCUGCUACCGACACUGGUGGUCUUUCCGGCAAGGCGAAGGAAGUUGAUGACACGAAUCUACCUUCUGAGAAAAAGAAGAAUCGGAAGCUGACCCCGUGAGUGAUUGGUGCAACUCCACAAAACCGUCAACCCACUUAGCUUUCCUGCAUUUUCAAUUUACUAAAUUGCUAUGUAUUUCGGAUUUCUGAGUUUUCGUUUUCUUUUCAAUUAUCUGCAAACUAUCAUUCACUGGUUUAACAUGUACUUUUUAAUUAAAUUAUGGGGAACGUUGGCGAGUA
Brassica napus (rape) is the source of this 6381-nucleotide long non-coding RNA. RefSeq lists it as uncharacterized. The record is from RefSeq and is a predicted model, not a curated record. The transcript has 6 exons. Lineage: Eukaryota; Viridiplantae; Streptophyta; Magnoliopsida; Brassicales; Brassicaceae.